AGCGAGCGUUAGCGGCGGGCCUAACACAUGCAAGUCGAACGCGAAAGGUCUUCGGACUGAGUAGAGUGGCGCACGGGUGAGUAACACGUAGGUAAUCUACCCUUUGGCGGGGGAUAACGUUCCGAAAGGAGCGCUAAUACCGCAUAAGACCACGGAGUCUCCGGACGCUGUGGGAAAAGGUGGCCUCUUCUUGAAAGCUACCACCGAAGGAUGAGCCUGCGUCCCAUCAGCUAGUUGGUAAGGUAAUGGCUUACCAAGGCGAAGACGGGUAGCUGGUUUGAGAGAAUGAUCAGCCACACUGGCACUGGAACACGGGCCAGACUCCUACGGGAGGCAGCAGUGAGGAAUAUUGAGCAAUGGGCGAAAGCCUGACCCAGCCACGCCGCGUGAGUGAUGAAGGCCCUCGGGUCGUAAAGCUCUGUGGAGAGGGACGAAAACCCUGGUUUCAAAUAGGCUCCAGGCUUGACGGUACCUCUUUAGCAAGCACCGGCUAACUCUGUGCCAG
Molecule: ribosomal RNA, 505 nt
Filed under: uncultured bacterium
Lineage: Bacteria
Description: bacterial SSU rRNA
Rfam family: Bacterial small subunit ribosomal RNA
Source: RNAcentral